ACGCGCGGAACCUUACCUGGGCUAGAAUGUAGUCUGACCGUGGGUGAAAGCUCAUUUUGUAGCAAUACACAGAUUAUAAGGUGCUGCAUGGCUGUCGUCAGCUCGUGCCGUGAGGUGUUGGGUUAAGUCCCCGCAACGAGCGCAACCCCCCAUCAGUAGUUGCCAUCAGGUAACGCUGGGAACUCUACUGAAACUGCCGUCGUAAGACGCGAGGAAGGAGGGGAUGAUGUCAAGUCAUCAUGGCCUUUAU
Molecule: ribosomal RNA, 250 nt
Filed under: uncultured bacterium
Lineage: Bacteria
Description: partial 16S ribosomal RNA
Rfam family: Bacterial small subunit ribosomal RNA
Source: RNAcentral